UAUAAACCGAUGAAGCGGAAAUCAAACGAAACAAAGAACCCAAAGAGAGCUCAAGAUGGUGGAAAUUGAGCGGUGACUAUUUCGCAAAUGGACCGUUGAGGGUGUAGUGAAAAGAAUUCUUAGUAGCGUACAACGUCUCAUUCUCGUUAACGAAUGUUUGGAUUUAUUCGAAUUCAAUAAAGUGUACAAGUAUACUUGUAAAUAAAGGUGGCACCGCGGGUAGUUUACUCGUCCUUGAC
Molecule: non-coding RNA, 239 nt
Filed under: Bacillota bacterium
Lineage: Bacteria; Bacillati; Bacillota
Description: Firmicutes bacterium T-box sequence
Rfam family: T-box leader
About the family: Uncharged tRNA acts as the effector for transcription antitermination of genes in the T-box leader family. T-boxes are found upstream of many aminoacyl-tRNA synthetase genes and some amino acid biosynthetic genes usually in Gram-positive bacteria.
Source: RNAcentral